GGAGAGUAUCUCAUUAGUACCGUCAGCUGUGCUUAAUUGACUCUGGUUACCUUGUCUCCCAUGCUUUGUUGGGCUACUAUCCAUGAGCCCAGCCUGCCCUCUAGUGGUCCUUCCACAAUAACCAUCUCUCACCUGUCAACACCAUUCAACAUGGCCAAAUGUGAACUACAGGUAGCUACCGUCAAAAUCAACUUAACAGUGGUAAGAUUUAAACAAGCUGCUUACAUUGUCAUUUUCUUUUCUUCAGGAAAAAGGAGAAUACAACAUGUGUCUACCUCAACCAGAGUCAUAAAUAUGGACUGCAUAUCUUUCAACUAAUGGGAAAUGUUGUAUCAAAUCGAUAUAUACAGGCUAAUGCUUUGAUAGAGCAUGAUAUGAAUCAGAAUGACUUAUUCAAGAAUGGAAUAUGAACGUCUGUUUCUUACUGUUGGAGGUGAACGGGUCACUGACUGCUGCCACACCGAAGCUCACCAACCUGACCAUCUGUAGCUGUGACCACUUUUUGCCCUCAUGAUCCCUGAUGUGAAACUGAGUGAGGUCCAUGCCAGGACGAUGAGCAUGCUCACCUGUGUGGGUGGAGCCACCUGUGUUCUUCUGCACGUCACCUUACUGACACACUGCCUCCAGCCUUUGUGAGUGACACCCGUCAAGCAAACACACAUUUUAAAUACUUAAAUUGAACCCACCAAUCACAUUACAGUCGAGAAGGAUUCAAACAUUUCAUAGAUCAUGGAUACAGAAAACACAUCCUUCUCCAUACAGCUAAGCUGCCCAUGACUGCUGACAGAGGAGUACCUCGCUAGUUGCUUUGCCUUCGUCCGAUGCAGGUCUGCAAUCUGAAGGCCAUGUACUGUCAGCCUAUGUACAUGGCCAAAGCUCCCAAGUAUCACCACUACAAAUCAAAAGAGCAACUGUAUACAAGAAAACAUCAAACCAGCCUCCUCUGAUAAGAUAAUGUUUGUGAAUAAGCACUGAUGGUGGUACUGUCUGUCUCACCUCACUAGCUAGCAGGUUAAUGAGGCGGUCAUGUCUAGCUAUGUAAAAGUCCUUGUAUGAAUGGCAAACGACCACACACAAAAUCUCUUUCAGAAGGAAAUCUACUGACCAUGUCAUGCUGGUUCAUCUCCAGUUGGGGGCAUUUCUGCUGUUACUCAACCUGCUGCUGUUGAGCAGUGUGGGUUUGGCCUUUGUGGGCCCUGCAUCUAUGGCCCCUGGCCUGUGUCCUACUGUGGCCGCCCUGCUGCACAACUCACUGCUUCACCUGGAUGGGCUAGCAUCUGUACAGGCUGCUGGUCCUAGUCUACAACACCUACAUGAGACUACCUGCUGAAGCCAAGCCUGCUGGGCUGGGGUGCUGGAUAAGACGGAUGUGUUGUACGGCUGUGAUGUGGCUUACCUGUUAGUGGUCCUGCUCUUCAACAGCACCAUCUUCGUCAUCACAACGAUGCUCAAGCUGCGCUCUGUCACGUUGCUGCAGGAGAAGAGGCGGAGCCGCAACAUCACCUGCAGUGUUCUGAGGCUGACCUGCGCCAUGGGCCUCACCUGGGGGCUGGGCUUCUUCUCCAUUGGCUACACCAACUAAGUCAUCCUCUACGUCUUCACCAUCCUCAACUCACUUAAGGGGUUCUUCCUGUUCCUGAGGAUCUGUGUUAAGAGACUGCAGGGGCCAGAACCGAGUUCCAUGACAACUGGACAGAGGUCAAGCACCCACAUUCUCUCCGUUGGAAGCGAGGUCUGGCCCUCUUCUGGAAGAACAAGGCAGUCAGUGCCUAAAGAGGGAGCAAUUGGAGCAAAUACAUCCAAGUUCUGAACAAAAGCUCAAUGAGAUGAAUGGAAAUUACUAAUGGAAAUGAAGUACCGUGAAGGAAUUGUUUGCGUCGGUCCCAAACAGUACAUCACAUUGUUAAAUAAAUAAAUGUUGAAGCAGAUAAUCACUAAGAAAGAACUUGUUGUACUCCUAUCGUUUAAUUUCUUCCUGUUAAAAUUAGAUUGACUGUUUUUAUGCCAUGAUGUAUGCACAUUUCACCUAAAGCCUUCUAUUAUAUUUUCCUGGGAUGGAAAGGGGGGUUGGAUUAGGGUUGGGACUGUUCCCAGAGAUUGUAAUUGUAAUGAAUUGUACACUUUAAUUCUGUAAUAAAUAUACAGUACCAGUCAA
Oncorhynchus gorbuscha (pink salmon) is the source of this 2155-nucleotide long non-coding RNA. RefSeq lists it as uncharacterized. The transcript is spliced from 4 exons. The record is from RefSeq and is a predicted model, not a curated record. Lineage: Eukaryota; Metazoa; Chordata; Actinopteri; Salmoniformes; Salmonidae.